GUUCCCGUGGUGUAGUGGUUAUCACGAUGCGCCUCACACGCGCAAGGUCCCCGGUUCGAUCCAGGGCGGGAACA
RNAcentral lists this transfer RNA (74 nucleotides) under Dermacentor silvarum. RNAcentral's name for it is "transfer RNA valine (anticodon CAC)". Lineage: Eukaryota; Metazoa; Arthropoda; Arachnida; Ixodida; Ixodidae. The record is from RNAcentral.